Molecule: ribosomal RNA, 256 nt
Filed under: uncultured bacterium
Lineage: Bacteria
Description: partial 16S ribosomal RNA
Rfam family: Bacterial small subunit ribosomal RNA
Source: RNAcentral
CGAAGGGGCGUAGCGUUGUUCGGAAUCACUGGGCGUAAAGGGCGCGUAGGCGGCUUGAUAAGUCGGGGGUGGAAAGCCUGUGGCUCAACCACAGAAUUGCCUUCGAUACUGUCGAGCUUGAGACCGGAAGAGGUAAGUGGAACUGCGAGUGUAGAGGUGAAAUUCGUAGAUAUUCGCAAGAACACCAGUGGCGAAGGCGGCUUACUGGUCCGGUUCUGACGCUGAGGCGCGAAAGCGUGGGGAGGCAAACAGGAUU